GGCCAGCGGCCGGCCGCUGGGGCCGAGUAUUGUCCCAAAGGCCGAAAAGAGACGAAAGCGGGGAGAUUGGGGGACAGCCACGUGACCGGGGGAGGAUUUACAAUAUUUUCUUUCGCUGUCGACAAUAUUGCAAAAUGUAUGGAAGGGACCGCACGGCCAGGACAGGAGCGUGAGCGCGCGGGCAAGCGUUUCCCCCCUACCGGAAAUCUGAUGGGCUUAUGACAUCAUGGCUGGCUGCUGAGCGAUGAAGUGGAUGCCACAAAGAAAUCCGACAUAUCAGAUGGAUUCUGAAAUCAGUUUCCCUCUGGCUGCGGUAACAGGCGUGAAGUCAGGAGAAUGUGAGCUUUGUUUAAGAAACAAAAAAAUAAAACUAAGCCCCGUCCCGCAUUCGAUACAAUUUUUUUUUUUUUUUAAGCAAACAGACCUUUUGGACAUCAUCCUAUUUUAAUAAAGACGCUGGCGUGUAUGAAAUGAAAGCGGCUAAUAAAUCAGACCUGAAGCUGCCUGUGAACAUUC
Molecule: long non-coding RNA, 516 nt
Organism: Lynx canadensis (Canada lynx)
Lineage: Eukaryota; Metazoa; Chordata; Mammalia; Carnivora; Felidae
Exons: 2
Source: RefSeq, a predicted model, not a curated record